RNAcentral lists this long non-coding RNA (211 nucleotides) under Lupinus angustifolius (narrow-leaved blue lupine). RNAcentral's name for it is "long non-coding RNA (LANG_LNC002172)". Lineage: Eukaryota; Viridiplantae; Streptophyta; Magnoliopsida; Fabales; Fabaceae. The record is from RNAcentral.
CCCCCUAAAGAUGAUGUCAUUUCUCAUCUUCCAAAUAGACCAGACUACAGCAAACCACAUCAUUCUCCAAACAGCUUUCCCUUUUACAAUUCUACACAGAGAUUCAUGCAUCUUAAAUGAUUCCAAAACCGUAUCAGGUAGUGUUAUUUGAAUUUGAAGCCAAGAAUAGAACUCUUUCCACACAUUAGAAACAAAAGGACAAGAAAGAAAA